AUGUAAAUCACCAAAGACCAAAGGACAAUAGUGUAAAUCACCAAAGACCAAAGGACAAUAGUGUAAAUCACCAAAGACCAAAGGACAAUGAUGUAAAUCACCAAAGACAAAAGGACAAUGAUGUAAAUCACCAAAGACCAAAGGACAAUGGUGUAAAUCAUCAAAGAACAAUGGUGUAAAUCACCGAAGACAAAAGGACAAUGAUGUAAAUCACCAAAGACCAAAGGACAAUGAUGUAAAUC
Molecule: long non-coding RNA, 242 nt
Filed under: Mytilus galloprovincialis (Mediterranean mussel)
Lineage: Eukaryota; Metazoa; Mollusca; Bivalvia; Mytilida; Mytilidae
Source: RNAcentral